This 474-nucleotide ribosomal RNA is filed under the name uncultured Geobacter sp. Its description in RNAcentral is "bacterial SSU rRNA". It matches the Rfam family "Bacterial small subunit ribosomal RNA", at positions 74 to 526 of the family's 1533-position model. Lineage: Bacteria; Pseudomonadati; Thermodesulfobacteriota; Desulfuromonadia; Geobacterales; Geobacteraceae. The record is from RNAcentral. RNAcentral also lists the same sequence under 1 other name.
CGGAGCUUGCUCCGGUGAAAGUGGCGCACGGGUGAGUAACGCGUGGAUAACCUGCCCUGGUAUCUGGGAUAACAUCUCGAAAGGGGUGCUAAUACCGGAUAAGCCCACGGACUCCUCGGAGUCUGCGGGAAAAGGUGGCCUCUAUUUAUAAGCUACCGUAUCAAGAUGGGUCCGCGUACCAUUAGCUAGUUGGUGGGGUAAUGGCCUACCAAGGCGACGAUGGUUAGCUGGUCUGAGAGGAUGAUCAGCCACACUGGAACUGAGACACGGUCCAGACUCCUACGGGAGGCAGCAGUGGGGAAUUUUGCGCAAUGGGGGAAACCCUGACGCAGCAACGCCGCGUGAGUGAUGAAGGCUUUCGGGUCGUAAAGCUCUGUCAGAGGGGAAGAAAUGAAACGUGCUAAUAUCACGUUUUCUUGACGGUACCCUCAAAGGAAGCACCGGCUAACUCCGUGCCAGCAGCCGCGGUAAUAC